UGGUCACCAAGUUUUGUCCCUCUUCCUUC
Molecule: non-coding RNA, 29 nt
Filed under: Mus musculus (house mouse)
Lineage: Eukaryota; Metazoa; Chordata; Mammalia; Rodentia; Muridae
Source: RNAcentral